Molecule: long non-coding RNA, 6612 nt
Filed under: Olea europaea (common olive)
Lineage: Eukaryota; Viridiplantae; Streptophyta; Magnoliopsida; Lamiales; Oleaceae
Description: long non-coding RNA (OEUR_LNC012641)
Source: RNAcentral
CAAGUAAGAUUGCUCAAUGAAUUAGUUUCGAUGUUUUUUAUGCCUUAGAUCCAAUGAUGAGAAUUCCUGUUGUUUAGCUCUCUGAACCAGUAGAAGGCCUAAAAGAAUGGUUGGAUGCUUUAGCUUCGUCGAACAUCCCUUGUGCUGUUGUUUCAAGUGUUGACCGCAGAAACAUGGUUGAGGCUUUGGAGCGAAUGGGGCUCAAGAAGUAUUUUCAGGUCACUGUUUCAUCUCUUCUCCUCUUUUGUUUGGUGUCUGUGGGAGCUGACAGUUUUCUGACUGUGUCUUUUCUAUGUUUGCCGUACAAAUACAAUUAUGAUGUCCGAUUUUCAUUAUUACUUUAUAUUAUUUGAUGUUUUGUUUGCUUGUUUCCUGUGACAUUGUGAUUAUGUUGUAAUCCGUGUUAAGUUUGUCAAAUGACUUCCGAUUCUCUAUAGACCCAGUUCCGGUUCUGUGGUAGUGGAUUGUGAAGUAUAAAUAUGACUAGUCCUCCUGUCGAAUAUGGACUUUGCUCACAGUUGUUAAAAAUGUGCCUAGCACAAAUUGCAAUGAGGGGCAUCCCAGGCACCUUUUGGCAAUGAAGAGAGAAGCUUAAACAGAGCUCAGAAAAGUGCAAAGAACCAAAAAAACACUGAUUUCAAAAAAGUGCUUUUGGAUUAUUUGUGUUGUAACUGGUGUUGAUAUUUUGGAUGCUGUAUGUAAUUUCUUUCUUAAAAAUAAAAGAAAGAAAAAAGAAAAAAAGAAAAGAAAAGGAAAUAACUAGGCUGUUCUACUGCAAAGCUGACUGUCAUCUGUUGGAGUUGCAGGCAAUUGUGUCUGAGGAAGAUGGUAUGGAGUCCAUAGCCCAUAGAUUCCUUUCAGCAGCUGUAAAGGUAUGAUUUUAUAGUGAUUGGGAGUAGUACUAAAAUAACCCAGGUUAAAUACAUGUAGAAAAUUUGCACUUAUUCUUUUAAUGCCUUUUUUCCUCCCCGGUUUACAUUGAAACACACAGAUGAUGAAUACCACAUUUUAAUCAUAACAUUUUGAUCUACUUGAGAAUUGUUUUGCAGUUGGACCGAAAACCGUCCAAGUGUGUCGUGUUUGAGGAUGACCCCAGGGGAGUAACUGCUGCUCAUAAUUGUACAAUGAUGGCUGUAGCAUUAAUUGGUGCUCAUCCAGCGUACGUAUUCGCACCUUGUGUGUGUUAUGAGCUCAGAUGUACACACUUCUGAUGACAAAAUGAAUCCAUCGUGUCAAAAAAUGUUAAUGCUUUUCAUGACAAAGGAUCAAAAUAUUUCCUCUCAUCGAACCCUGUUUUCUGUAGUGAAUAUUAAUGUCGAGUUUAACAUGCAGAUACGAUCUUGGGCAGGCUGAUCUCGCAGUUGCGAGCUUUAAUGAGCUUUCUGUAAUCAAUUUGCGGAGAUUAUUUGCUCACAAAGGUUCGAGUUUCAUGGAAUUGGAAAAGCAGAUAAUAGAGACGACUCCUUCGCGAAGAAAGCUCACUAUUGACACUAUAUUCUGAUUUUGCACCCAUCCCCAUUUUGCUCUCUCCGUCACUGUCAUUCGAUCAUUGUAAAUUUUGUAAUUUAAGGGGGUAGAUCAUCUUGUGACAUCCUCUCUUUCUCUUGGUCUGUGCAUUUUUCUUUUUCUUUUUUAUUUUUCCUUUGGUUUUAUAGUGAAAAGGCAAACAAUUUACAAUAAAAUGUAUGUGAAAUCUGCUCUGGUGGAUGAAAUCUCACAUUUAAAUAAUUCUUCACUGGAAAUACCAGUGCUUGAUUUUUAUCAAAGCUGCUUUUAAAUUUUCUCAUUUUAUAGCUUGAACAUACCUAUCAUCUCUUCAUUUUCGUACUUAUGAUCACACUUUUUUUGUCGUAUUCUUAUCUUAAAAUCUUCUGUUAAUUUUAAGCCUAAAAUUUUGUUAUUAUUCAGCUUUUUAUUAAUUAGCACAUAUUGGUCCUGGUGAAAAUUUUGUUCAAUAGAUUUUUUAUCGGGAUUUAUAAGGGAGCAAUUAUUUUGUCGUACAUUUUUAUUUAUUUUUUCUUAUUUAAAAUACAAGAGAAAAAUAAUUCUUUUACACCCUCAUGACAUAAUUUUUGGACGAAAAUUAUAAUUAGACUAGAAGUGCUAAUUUACGGAAGGUUAAGAAUAAUGAUGUAAUGAAAAAAAUUCGGGAACACAAGUAUGGCUAAUAAGUAAAGAUUAAAAAUACCCAAUGCAACUAAAAUGUGGUACACUUGUAAUAAACACGUGUCAACAUGACCAUGCAUAAAAUAGAAGUCGUUUUCGUCCGCCUGCCUCUUGGGACUGUAAUAUUAUAAGGGUGCAUUUGAUUGCAAGCAUGAAAUUUGUAUGGAAAAAAAAUAAAUUCUAGAUAAAUCAAUUGCCUAGAGCUUAUUUGUAUGUAAAUUGUCGAUUAAAUGUGUUUGAUUGAUUUAAUUUUUAACCUAGAAAAUAUUAUACUUGUCUAUUUUUUAUUGGUGGGUUAAUGAGAGAGAGAGAAUAAAUAAGAGAGAGAAAGAGAGAGUGAAUUCCGUGAAAAAUAAAAUUCUACUCUUUUUAAAAAAAAUAGUUUAAUUGAUUUUGAGGAAAAUAUGGUCACGUUAUCAAAAGUGGGAAAAUAUUUUAAUGAAAAAAAAUGACAAUUAAACGGCACAAAAGCUAUGGUAGGUGAUGUACUUGACAUCCAUAAUAGGGGCUAUAGUUGGAAUAUUACUUUUGGGAGGGGUUUACAAGAUUGGGAAUUGGAAGAUUAUUCGUUGUUUUUGAUUGCUCUGCAUGAGAUACAAAUUCGGGUAGGAGAAGGUGAUUGUAGCAGGUGGAGGUUAGCUCGAGAUGGUAUUUUUUCAGUCCGCUCAUACUUUCAAUCUCUUUUGGGAUUUGUGGAGAGUUCAUUACCUUGGAAGAUGGUGUGGCAAAGUAAAUUGCCUCCACGGGUAGCAUUUCUAUUGUGGACAGAUAUGAGGGGGCAGGUGUCAACGGUGGAUAAUCUUCGACGAAAAGGAUUUUAUGUAACCGAGUGGUGCUAUAUGUGCAAGAAGGAUGGAGAGACGAUCAAUCAUUUAUUCAUUCAUUGUGAUGGUGUGCGUUGGCUUUGGGACAGUAUUCUAGCUUCUCAAUCAAUGAAUUGGGUGCUACUUAGGCGUAUAGAAGACUUGGUGUGGGCAUGGAAAAGAAAAUUUCGCGAUAAGGAUAGCAAACUUCUAUGGAAUCUUAUCCCAAGAUGCAUUGUAUGGUGCAUAUGGAGAGAACGGAACGAUCGAUAUUUCGAAGACCAAACAAAGACAACAGAGCAGAUAAGAGAAUUAUUUUACUUGACUUUGUAUACUUGGUUUAAUGCAGUGGCUAAAAAUCCUGUUGUAGGGUUGUCUAAUUUCUUGUUGUUCCUUUCAUGCUUAAAGUGAUUGUAUACCUCCCGUGUACUCUCUUUUAAGUGGUGGAUGGAGCAAAAAUCUAUUCCUUCCCAUAUUUCUUAAUUGCUCUUUGACUGAUUCACUUUAAGCUUUGAUUUGAGCUUGUUGAGGAGCAACAUUCACAUGUUUAAGAAAUAUGAGAAUGAUUACUUGUAAUAAAUGCACGAGCUAAAAUUUUGUUAUUUGUACACCUUGGUAUUAGCUAUGCUAAAUAAAAAAAUCGUGAGCCCCCUUAUUGUAAGGGGUUGUACACUAUAUACAGAUAGCACUUCUCUACGAGCUAACGAGAAGAAAAUGCCUUUCAUAGCCUCUCUUUCGUACUUUCCUUGUUACAUUGCUUACUACCUAGGCAAUUGUUUAUAACAUCAUGUAAACAAAUAAUCAAGUUUCGAGGGUUCCAACUUAAAAACUUAGGCCAUGUUUGAGGUCAAUUACUUUGAGGAAAUGUUUCAUGGAAUAGUGAUUGAUGACGAAUGUCUAGUUAAAAAAGAAGAAUUUUUUUUUUUAUUUGAUUGUAAUAUUAUUUUAAUAAAGAAUGUUUAGUUACAAAUGAGUACUGUAAGAAAAUAAUGGGAAAGAAUAUAAAUUUAAGGAUGACAAACAGGAACUUAACAAAAGUACCAUUUUAAAUCCGACUAUAUCAAUAACUAUGCAAGCAAAAGGGAUUUCUUAACCUAGAACUAGCACCCGAAGUUUAGAGACAAUAACCAUGCAAGCAAAAGCGAUCAUCAAUCUUGAGAGAUGGACAUUUUUCAAUUAUUUCUAAUCAUUUCUGAAAAAAUUAUUUGAGCUUAACUAGGUUGACUAAUUGAAACGAGCUUUCAACUAGCAUGUUCUACGACAAAUUAGAAGAAUGUUUGGUAUGCUGUAAUGAAUAAAAUUAAGACAAAGUUUAGCCAUCUCAUCGCACAACUCGUAGAAAGUAGAAACUCCUAUCCAAUUACAUGCAUCAAUUUUAUUAUGUAAUCAGGAUAUAAAGUUCACAAGAGUAACUGCUACAUUUUGCACAACAAAUCAAUGGCUUAUCCUUCUGAAAGAGCAUGAAAAAGUAGCUGACAAUCACUUUGAUUGAAAAAUUCAAUAAAAAAUAACCUAUUCUGCUCUAGGCUUAGUAGACAGUUCUCCAGAGCGGGUAUUUGGUGGUGUUGGUUGAAGCUCCUCAAUUUCUUUCACGACUAGUGCUUUGUCAGCUUCAAAUGUUUCAUCUUCUGCAAAUUAAUUAUAGGUAUAGACUUGUAUGAGUUUCAUCUAUAAUGAUUAUACAAAAUGUGAUUAUAAGUCUCAAUAAUUUACCUUUUUCCAAGCAAAAGCCAUCAAAGAAACGGAGAAGCUUGCUUUUGUUAGCGACUAAUAUGUUGACAAUUUCAACAGGUUUGUUUUGGUUAGCCACAAAAAGCUGUAAGAACACAAAAUAAGUGAAUACUCAAAACUAACAAGAAUUUCUUCAUAAGUACUUAUCAAAUGUUAAGAUUUGAAACCUUGAACACAUGGAAAGCAGCAAUCUGGAUGUUCUUGUGUGACUCCUACAAAACAUAAUUUUAAUCGAAUUUAGAUGACUCGAAACUGCAUGAUUGAUGCAACCUGAAAUUUGUCUUCGACAUUUUAUAUUAGAAUUUUCAUCCUCAAUUAUUAUAAAGAAAUAAGCAGCUGGAUGAGGCUAGAUUAAUAUUCCACUGAUAUCUUCGAAGUAAGUGCCUCUGAAUAAAAGAACAGGUCUGAUGGAAAGUCUCUACAAGGUUGUACUUGAGUUGCAUAACCCAAGUCCAUAUAAUGUAUCUUGAAUAACCUAUUUUUAAUUGUCAGAUUUAAGAAAUUUUACGUUCUUGUACAUGUCACUGUUUCAUCUCAACUAAGAGGAAGAGAUGAAAUUUCUGGGAACUGGGUAAAAUGGCAUGGAUUUAAGAGGAAAAGAUCAUUAAUGAAAAACGGCUUGAUCUAUAGAAUUCAAGUGGUAAUUGAUUCCUUUGGUUUUAAAUGUAAGUAUCAUUUAUAAUUUAUUAAAGGGCAAUUCAACUAUUAGUUUUUGAAUAGUCGAGUGUAAGCUUUGCUGGUGCAAUGUUGCCCGUAAUAGGUCUAGUAUCAGUUUUGAGGUCAUGCUGGAUGAUUGACUCAACUAGUCUCAAGUUGAUAUAAAAUUGUCGUGGUAGGUUUUAUUUCAUUUCAAUCAACUAUAAGAAACUACUGUAUUGAUCGACUGGGAAAAGACCAACAUCUAAUAGUGCAAGUGUUUUAACAUUUCUUGACCAGCGUGCUAAUGGAAAUUACAUAAUUUAAUAUGUAAAAUAAGCAGAGUAGCAUUUUGUUGCAAUUUCAGCCUUUCUGCUUUAUACUGGAGGGUUGAUUUCCUUGUCAAACUUUUCAGGUUUUGCGCUGGGGGAAGGCACAAAAUGAUCUAGACAGACUGAAGUUGAGGUUGUCUCAGUUAUAUUAUCACAACCUUGUCCAAGUAAGAUUGCUCAAUGAAUUAGUUUCGAUGUUUUUUAUGCCUUAGAUCCAAUGAUGAGAAUUCCUGUUGUUUAGCUCUCUGAACCAGUAGAAGACCUAAAAGAAUGGUUGGAUGCUUUAGCUUCGUCGAACAUCCCUUGUGCUGUUGUUUCAAGUGUUGACCGCAGAAACAUGGUUGAGGCUUUGGAGCGAAUGGGGCUCAAGAAGUAUUUUCAGGUCACUGUUUCAUCUCUUCUCCUCUUUUGUUUGGUGUCUGUGGGAGCUGACAGUUUUCUGACUGUGUCUUUUCUAUGUUUGCCGUACAAAUACAAUUAUGAUGUCCGAUUUUCAUUAUUACUUUAUAUUAUUUGAUGUUUUGUUUGCUUGUUUCCUGUGACAUUGUGAUUAUGUUGUAAUCCGUGUUAAGUUUGUCAAAUGACUUCCGAUUCUCUAUAGACCCAGUUCCGGUUCUGUGGUAGUGGAUUGUGAAGUAUAAAUAUGACUAGUCCUCCUGUCGAAUAUGGACUUUGCUCACAGUUGUUAAAAAUGUGCCUAGCACAAAUUGCAAUGAGGGGCAUCCCAGGCACCUUUUGGCAAUGAAGAGAGAAGCUUAAACAGAGCUCAGAAAAGUGCAAAGAACCAAAAAAACACUGAUUUCAAAAAAGUGCUUUUGGAUUAUUUGUGUUGUAACUGGUGUUGAUAUUUUGGAUGCUGUAUGUAAUUUCUUUCUUAAAAAUAAAAGAAAGAAAAAAGAAAAAAAGAAAAGAAAAGGAAAUAACUAGGCUGUUCUACUGCAAAG